GAUGAACGCUGGCGGCGUGCCUAAUACAUGCAAGUCGAGCGAACGGACGAGAAGCUUGCUUCUCUGAUGUUAGCGGCGGACGGGUGAGUAACACGUGGAUAACCUACCUAUAAUACUGGGAUAACUUCGGGAAACCGGAGCUAAUACCGGAUGAUAUUUUGAACCGCAUGGUUCAAAAGUGAAAGACGGUCUUGCUGUCACUUAUAGAUGGAUCCGCGCUGCAUUAGCUAGUUGGUAAGGUAACGGCUUACCAAGGCAACGAUGCAUAGCCGACCUGAGAGGGUGAUCGGCCACACUGGAACUGAGACACGGUCCAGACUCCUACGGGAGGCAGCAGUAGGGAAUCUUCCGAAAUGGGCGAAAGCCUGACGGAGCAAAGCCGCGUGAGUGAUGAAGGUCUUCGGAUCGUAAAACUCUGUUAUUAGGGAAGAACAUAUGUGUAAGUAACUGUGCACAUCUUGACGGUACCUAAUCAGAAAGCCACGGCUAACUACGUG
RNAcentral lists this ribosomal RNA (497 nucleotides) under uncultured bacterium. Its description in RNAcentral is "partial 16S ribosomal RNA". It matches the Rfam family "Bacterial small subunit ribosomal RNA", at positions 28 to 507 of the family's 1533-position model. The record is from RNAcentral.